This 739-nucleotide long non-coding RNA is filed under the name Oryctolagus cuniculus (rabbit). Its description in RNAcentral is "lncRNA (ENSOCUG00000039139.1)". The record is from RNAcentral. Lineage: Eukaryota; Metazoa; Chordata; Mammalia; Lagomorpha; Leporidae.
CUCUGCUGCAGACACACUUGCUGGAGACAAGGCUCCUCGGGAGGGGGGGAAGGCGCUGGGAGGCUGGGCUGGGCAGGGUGAGGAGGGUCUGGCCUCUGCACGGCCUCGGGCAGGUGCUGUCCGGUGGCCGACACUGUUGGAUCUGCUGCCCACCUGUGUGCCCGUCCUCUGGCUGCCGUCCUGGAGUUCCUGGCAACAGCACGAGCGAGAGCCAUCAGGAGCAGGUGCACAUCCAGCCCGAGACACCGCCUGGCAGGAGGACCAGCUCUCGGUCAGGAGUGACUGGCUUGCUCGGCACAGAGGCCGUCAGAGCUGGCGCACGGAGAGGAGGGUUCGUUCCGGGGAUGUGGACACCCGCACCAUCACGGCGGCAGCCACGCCAGGGCUGGAGCUGGAUUUGCUGGAGGAGAGCUCCGCGGGCGGGUUCCAGACCCCACACAGCCCGUCAGUGCCGGAGCCGAGAGGACCCUGUGAAGCCAUGUCAUGGAGAGGCAGCAGCACGCGCCCACUGCUUGUGCAGAGCUGGGGAGACACGGAGGUGGGCGUAAGGCGAGGCCAACAGAUUCAGCCCUCGAUGGGGAAGGGACAGGAGCCCCCACUCCUUGCACGAGUGAGGUCUCUCUUUGCAUGGCAGGCUUUGGGGCCAGCGCAGCUCUGGGGAGGCAGAGCAUGGUCCUGGCGUCAAUCCUGUAGGGGUCCAGGCUGGUUCUGGGAUUUCAUCACUUGUCAUUGGGGUUAG